UCUAGUGCAGUCUCCCUGGAUCAGUUCAACGUCUACUCUCUCCACUGCCCCUUUAUACAUCAGUAUGGAACACGGACAUGUUUAGAUGACGAGCAUAUGGUGAUGUCUUUAUACACUGGUAUUACCAUCUUUCCCGCAAAUGACUGCAAUGGCCUCUUAACCUUAUCUUGACUUCUCUUCCCUGCCUUUUCCAAAUCUCUUGGUACCACACUUAUGUCAUCCUAUUAUACCUGUGGAAAUUGGUAUAUACCUCAGCAAAAAGUGAGCUGCAAAUUCCUCUCAUCCCUGUACACAUCAUUUUUUGCAAUGUGACUGUGCUGCCUCUGCCAUCAAAAGGUAGUCUAUUUCUUCACUUCCCUGGGUCUGGGCUGGCUUAACGACUUGCUCUAACCAACAGAUGUCAGGUGAAGUGACAACAUGGACUUCUGAACCGAGGCCUCUAAGACCACAUGGCACAGGAGGACUUCUAGGCACAGGAGGAUGAAAGUGUCUGAAGUCCUCUCUACUGAGCCACCUAGACCAACUGGUGAACAGCAUCACCACCUGGACGACAUAGGAGAAACACAAUCUUAGUUCACUUAAACCCAUCAAGCCUUCAGGUGACUACGAAGCGGGAGUCACUCCAAGCAAAUCCAGUGAAGAAGCCCAAGAUGACCUAAUCCAAAGAAUUGUCAUUAAUGGUUGUGGUUUUAAAGCCACUAAAUUUGGGGAUCUAAUCCUGGAUUUCACACUGCAAUUCGUUCUCAUGUUUCCUUGUGCUCUUCCAAUCUGAGAUACAACCGUGUGCAUAAACAGACUAGUCACCUCUGAGACUGCAGCCUUGAGAAUUCUUCAGGUCCAGAAGUUGAAUCUUGACUAUCAACCUGACCAGGAUCAUUCAAUGACUAAAGAUAGGAACGAACUACAUGGACCAAUUAUGGCCAAUGAGGUAUGAGAGGAAAUACGUGGAGGGUUUAUGGACUUCCCUUCGUUCUUCCAGGGACAUAUACCAAAACAUUACUGUUUCCAGUUUGAGGGCACUGUUGUGUAAGCAUGUGAUACUUAGCAUCAAAGCCAUCCUGAGACCACACGUGGUCAAUCUUAUGACCCCAAACUAUCACCCUGGGAAGAGCAGAGCAUAUGAAUGUAAUGAGCCCACCAUGUCUUUGGUGAUAUUAAACUGCUAAAAUAAGCACACAA
Felis catus (domestic cat) is the source of this 1179-nucleotide long non-coding RNA. RefSeq lists it as uncharacterized. The transcript is spliced from 3 exons. The record is from RefSeq and is a predicted model, not a curated record. Lineage: Eukaryota; Metazoa; Chordata; Mammalia; Carnivora; Felidae.